This 106-nucleotide microRNA precursor is filed under the name Canis lupus dingo (dingo). Its description in RNAcentral is "mir-8834 microRNA precursor family". It matches the Rfam family "mir-8834 microRNA precursor family". The record is from Rfam by way of RNAcentral. Lineage: Eukaryota; Metazoa; Chordata; Mammalia; Carnivora; Canidae.
AGGAGGAACAACCACGGUGGCGGCGGCCAGGUCUGGAGCCCUGGAUUCAGCCCCCGCAGGAACUCCGGAGCUCUCUGUCUGCAGGGCCUGGAGGCUCCAGGGCGGG